Molecule: transfer RNA, 75 nt
Filed under: Candidatus Saccharimonadota bacterium
Lineage: Bacteria; Candidatus Saccharimonadota
Also listed under: 3 other names
Description: tRNA-Gly
Rfam family: tRNA
About the family: Transfer RNA (tRNA) molecules are approximately 80 nucleotides in length. Their secondary structure includes four short double-helical elements and three loops (D, anti-codon, and T loops). Further hydrogen bonds mediate the characteristic L-shaped molecular structure. tRNAs have two regions of fundamental functional importance: the anti-codon, which is responsible for specific mRNA codon recognition, and the 3' end, to which the tRNAs corresponding amino acid is attached (by aminoacyl-tRNA synthetases). tRNAs cope with the degeneracy of the genetic code in two manners: having more than one tRNA (with a specific anti-codon) for a particular amino acid; and 'wobble' base-pairing, i.e. permitting non-standard base-pairing at the 3rd anti-codon position.
Source: RNAcentral
GCGGGAUUCGUAUAACGGCUAAUAUAUAAGUUUUCCAAACUUAGGACGGGAGUUCGAUUCUCCCAUCCCGCACCA